GGCUACCACUCCACAGCUCAGUAGGCAGUACGCAUGUGGCUGAUAGGUGCAUGCUAUUCAGAACUCCCACAGGGCGCAGCCCUCCUCUGAUGUAAUGUCACUGAGCCAUUUGGCAGAGUCAGAACUAUGCAACUAUUUUUGUGACUGAUCCUGAGUCUGUGACUACUACAAAAUAAAGGAAAUACCUCAUUGGGUUUCAUGGGUUAUUUACCCAAAGAUACAUCUUAAUUAUUUUGUUUUGAAACAUUUAAGAGAAGUCUUUAUUUUUCUAUUUUGAAAGGCCAACCACUGAGGGUGGGGGAAUGGGGAUGAGAUUUCUUAUUCUCCUUAAGUAUACUGAGGGGGGGGAAAGAUCUGAACUUAAGAGUUGAGUUCAGUUCCUCAGUCGUGUCCGACUCUCUGCGACCCCAAGGACUGCAGCACGCCAGGCCUCCCUGUACCUCACCAACUCCCGCAGUUUACUCAAACUGAUGUUCAUUGAGAUCCUAUCCAGCAUUCCACCUUGCAUUUAGUCAGCUUGUCUUAGACUCCUCUGCACUGUGACACCUUCUCAGUGUUCUUUAUUUUGAUGACCUCGAUGACCUCGACAUCUUUGAAAAGUACUGGUCAGUAACGGCGUUAUAGUCAGUUACCUGAUGAAUAGACGUGAUGUUUGCCACUUCUGGAUGAAGCCUUUCGAAGAAUAAGAAUUCUUCCUCCAUUCUCUGUUCGACUGGCUGGAUGCAGAUGAUAAGAAGGCCACAGAGAAGCCACAGGAUGGAAGGAACUUUGGUUCCUGAAUCAGUGCAUGUAGAAAAGCUGCCUGCUGACCUGAACAGCUGUUCUGAACUGUUAUAUAAACAAGAAAUAAACUUCUGUUGUAUUUAAGCC
This is a long non-coding RNA of Bos taurus (domestic cattle), 870 nucleotides long. The record is from Ensembl. NCBI's taxonomy places the organism in Eukaryota, Metazoa, Chordata, Mammalia, Artiodactyla, Bovidae.